Molecule: ribosomal RNA, 751 nt
Filed under: uncultured Actinomyces sp.
Lineage: Bacteria; Bacillati; Actinomycetota; Actinomycetes; Actinomycetales; Actinomycetaceae
Description: bacterial SSU rRNA
Rfam family: Bacterial small subunit ribosomal RNA
Source: RNAcentral
GACGAACGCUGGCGGCGUGCUUAACACAUGCAAGUCGAACGCUGAAGCCUAGCUUGCUGGGUGGAUGAGUGGCGAACGGGUGAGUAACACGUGAGUAACCUGCCCUCUUCUUUGGGAUAACGCCCGGAAACGGGUGCUAAUACUGGAUAUUCACUGAUCUUCGCAUGGGGGUUGGUGGAAAGGUUUUUUCUGGUGGGGGAUGGGCUCGCGGCCUAUCAGCUUGUUGGUGGGGUGAUGGCCUACCAAGGCUUUGACGGAUAGCCGGCCUGAGAGGGUGACCGGUCACAUUGGGACUGAGAUACGGCCCAGACUCCUACGGGAGGCAGCAGUGGGGAAUAUUGCACAAUGGGCGAAAGCCUGAUGCAGCGACGCCGCGUGAGGGAUGGAGGCCUUCGGGUUGUAAACCUCUUUCGCUCAUGGUCAAGCCGCAGCUUUGGGUUGUGGUGAGGGUAGUGGGUAAAGAAGCGCCGGCUAACUACGUGCCAGCAGCCGCGGUAAUACGUAGGGCGCGAGCGUUGUCCGGAAUUAUUGGGCGUAAAGGGCUUGUAGGCGGUUGGUCGCGUCUGCCGUGAAAUCCUCUGGCUUAACUGGGGGCGUGCGGUGGGUACGGGCUGACUUGAGUGCGGUAGGGGAGACUGGAACUCCUGGUGUAGCGGUGGAAUGCGCAGAUAUCAGGAAGAACACCGGUGGCGAAGGCGGGUCUCUGGGCCGUUACUGACGCUGAGGAGCGAAAGCGUGGGGAGCGAACAGG